UACGUAGGGUGCAAGCGUUGUCCGGAAUUAUUGGGCGUAAAGAGCUCGUAGGCGGUUUGUCGCGUCUGCUGUGAAAACCUAAGGCUCAACCUUGGGCUUGCAGUGGGUACGGGCAAACUAGAGUGCGGUAGGGGAGAUUGGGAUUCCUGGUGUAGCGGUGGAAUGCGCAGAUAUCAGGAGGAACACCAGUGGCGAAGGCGGUUCUCUGGGCAUUACCUGACGCUGAGGAGCGAAAAGUGUGGGGAGCGAACAGG
Molecule: ribosomal RNA, 254 nt
Filed under: uncultured bacterium
Lineage: Bacteria
Description: partial 16S ribosomal RNA
Rfam family: Bacterial small subunit ribosomal RNA
Source: RNAcentral